GACGAACCGUGCGAACGUUAUUCGGAAUCACUGGGCUUAAAGAGCGUGUAGGCGGCUUGGUAAGUCCGCUGUGAAAGUCCAGGGCUCAACCCUGGAAUGCCGGUGGAAACUGUCAAGCUUGAGUCCGGAAGAGGCGAGUGGAAUUCCUGGUGUAGCGGUGAAAUGCGCAGAUAUCAGGAGGAACACCAAUGGCGAAGGCAGCUCGCUGGGACGGUACUGACGCUGAGACGCGACAGCGUGGGGAGCAAACAGG
Molecule: ribosomal RNA, 253 nt
Filed under: uncultured bacterium
Lineage: Bacteria
Description: partial 16S ribosomal RNA
Rfam family: Bacterial small subunit ribosomal RNA
Source: RNAcentral